CUAUGUGCUCCUAGACACUAUAAUUCAGAUUUUUAUUAUGCAGGGAAAAGUGCUUUUGUAGGAAUAAAACCCAUUACCACCAAAAGUCCAAAUAAUUGAAUGUGCUCUAAAGUCAGGUUUUUUCUGUGCAAAUUCAGUAUGCCAGAUAGGGAAGGAAAAACUUAGAGGAAAGGAACAGGCUAUUUCAUAUAGAGCCUGCACUGUCAACUCACAGAAGAAAAUUUUCUUCUAGAAAGGAGAAUUUUAUAUCUUAAGGAAUUAGAAAUGAAUUCAGGCACAAGAUCAUGUAGAACACUCUCAAUUUUCCUACAGGGCUAGACUAGGCAAUGUGAAAGGCAGAAUAGCACCAGUACUUUUCAUACCCAGUUACUCAACAGUUGUGGGAAAAGUCUCCACUGCUCACAGUCUUUAGCCUCUGUGUAAGACCAUAGGUUUUUAAACAGCACCAGCAAUCUCAUGUUUUUAAAGGAGAAAUAGCAAUCCAGGAUAGCAAGUCAGCAACUCACAAGAGUUUCUGCACAAAGGACUGAAAACCUAACAUACUCAUUGGCUGUGUCGAUGGUUACUGGAUUUGCUGUCCAUUGACUUGACCUGACUGUUUAUUUUCUUGUGCUGUGCUGUCUGUACGUCUCCUCACUUGAUGAGAUUGGAAGAAAGAACACAGGGGAAUCUGCUGCUUGAAGUCACUUGAUGUCAAAGCUGAUCUGAGGAACUGCACACACUGACUGACCAAGAGAGAGAGGAAGAACCGUAGGCUUUCUGCAGAAGUAUUCAUCAAGCGGGAAACGCAGCGGAUGGUGUUACAGAGUGCAGGAUACCUGUCUCAUUUCAAUGCAACUCCUCUUCUGGAAGCAAGAAAUCCUUCACAGAUAAUGAAAACAAACUUUGGUUAA
Cyanistes caeruleus (blue tit) is the source of this 893-nucleotide long non-coding RNA. NCBI's taxonomy places the organism in Eukaryota, Metazoa, Chordata, Aves, Passeriformes, Paridae. The record is from Ensembl.